GAUGAACGCUGGCGGCGUGCCUAAUACAUGCAAGUCGAGCGAACCACUUCGGUGGUGAGCGGCGAACGGGUGAGUAACACGUAGGUGAUCUGCCCAUCAGACGGGGACAACGAUUGGAAACGAUCGCUAAUACCGGAUAGGACGAAAGUUUAAAGGUGCUUCUGGCACUGCUGAUGGAUGAGCCUGCGGCGCAUUAGCUAGUUGGUAGGGUAAAGGCCUACCAAGGCGACGAUGCGUAGCCGACCUGAGAGGGUGAACGGCCACACUGGGACUGAGAACCGGCCCAGACUCCUACGGGAGGCAGCAGUAGGGAAUCUUCGGAAAUGGGCGAAAGCCUGACCGAGCAACGCCGCGUGAAUGAUGAAGGCCUUCGGGUUGUAAAAUUCUGUUAUAAGGGAAGAACGACUUUAGUAGGAAAUGGCUAGAGUGUGACGGUACCUUAUGAGAAAGCCACGGCUAACUACGUGCCAGCCGCCGCCGUAA
Molecule: ribosomal RNA, 483 nt
Filed under: uncultured bacterium
Lineage: Bacteria
Description: partial 16S ribosomal RNA
Rfam family: Bacterial small subunit ribosomal RNA
Source: RNAcentral